CGCGUAUAGAAUCUACCUUUUACAGGGGGAUAGCCUUUAGAAAUGAAGAUUAAUAUCCCAUAGUAUUGCGAAGUGGCAUCACUUUGUAAUUAAAGAUUUAUCGGUAAAAGAUGACUAUGCGUCCUAUUAGUUAGUUGGUAAGGUAACGGCUUACCAAGACUUCGAUAGGUAGGGGUCCUGAGAGGGAGAUCCCCCACACUGGUACUGAGACACGGACCAGACUCCUACGGGAGGCAGCAGUGAGGAAUAUUGGGCAAUGGAGGUAACUCUGACCCAGCCAUGCCGCGUGCAGGAAGACUG
This 300-nucleotide ribosomal RNA is filed under the name uncultured Polaribacter sp. Its description in RNAcentral is "bacterial SSU rRNA". It matches the Rfam family "Bacterial small subunit ribosomal RNA", at positions 114 to 414 of the family's 1533-position model. The record is from RNAcentral. Lineage: Bacteria; Pseudomonadati; Bacteroidota; Flavobacteriia; Flavobacteriales; Flavobacteriaceae.